AUGAUGGUGAUGAAGCAAUAAUUUUUCCAACACUUGGACUGAUGUUUAUUCAAGUGAUGAUACUUAUAUUGCAGCUGAAUCACA
Molecule: small nucleolar RNA, 84 nt
Filed under: Nicotiana attenuata
Lineage: Eukaryota; Viridiplantae; Streptophyta; Magnoliopsida; Solanales; Solanaceae
Description: Small nucleolar RNA snoR31
Rfam family: Small nucleolar RNA snoR31
Source: Rfam by way of RNAcentral